RNAcentral lists this unclassified non-coding RNA (31 nucleotides) under Thermus thermophilus. Its description in RNAcentral is "RNA (31-MER) from Thermus thermophilus (PDB 1X18, chain B)". Lineage: Bacteria; Thermotogati; Deinococcota; Deinococci; Thermales; Thermaceae. The record is from RNAcentral.
CUAGGUCUCUGGGUCUCCUGGGGGCCGAAGC